This 1364-nucleotide ribosomal RNA is filed under the name uncultured bacterium. RNAcentral describes it as "bacterial SSU rRNA". It matches the Rfam family "Bacterial small subunit ribosomal RNA", at positions 28 to 1381 of the family's 1533-position model. The record is from RNAcentral.
AUUGAACGCUGGCGGCAGGCCUAACACAUGCAAGUCGAACGGUAACAGGAAACAGCUUGCUGUUUCGCUGACGAGUGGCGGACGGGUGAGUAAUGUCUGGGAAACUGCCUGAUGGAGGGGGAUAACUACUGGAAACGGUAGCUAAUACCGCAUAACGUCGCAAGACCAAAGAGGGGGACCUUCGGGCCUCUUGCCAUCGGAUGUGCCCAGAUGGGAUUAGCUAGUAGGUGGGGUAACGGCUCACCUAGGCGACGAUCCCUAGCUGGUCUGAGAGGAUGACCAGCCACACUGGAACUGAGACACGGUCCAGACUCCUACGGGAGGCAGCAGUGGGGAAUAUUGCACAAUGGGCGCAAGCCUGAUGCAGCCAUGCCGCGUGUAUGAAGAAGGCCUUCGGGUUGUAAAGUACUUUUCAGCGGGGAGGAAGGGAGUAAAGUUAAUACCUUUGCUCAUUGACGUUACCCGCAGAAGAAGCACCGGCUAACUCCGUGCCAGCAGCCGCGUUAAUACGGAGGGUGCAAGCGUUAAUCGGAAUUACUGGGCGUAAAGCGCACGCAGGCGGUUUGUUAAGUCAGAUGUGAAAUCCCCGGGCUCAACCUGGAACUGCAUCUGAUACUGGCAAGCUUGAGUCUCGUAGAGGGGGGUAGAAUUCCAAGGUGUAGCGGUGAAAUGCGUAGAGAUCUGGAGGAAUACCGGUGGCGAAGGCGGCCCCCUGGACGAAGACUGACGCUCAGGUGCGAAAGCGUGGGGAGCAAACAGGAUUAGAUACCCUGGUAGUCCACGCCGUAAACGAUGUCGACUUGGAGGUUGUGCCCUUGAGGCGUGGCUUCCGGAGCUAACGCGUUAAGUCGACCGCCUGGGGAGUACGGCCGCAAGGUUAAAACUCAAAUGAAUUGACGGGGGCCCGCACAAGCGGUGGAGCAUGUGGCUUAAUUCGAUGCAACGCGAAGAACCUUACCUGGUCUUGACAUCCACAGAACCUUGUAGAGAUACGAGGGUGCCUUCGGGAACUGUGAGACAGGUGCUGCAUGGCUGUCGUCAGCUCGUGUUGUGAAAUGUUGGGUUAAGUCCCGCAACGAGCGCAACCCUUAUCCUUUGUUGCCAGCGGUCCGGCCGGGAACUCAAAGGAGACUGCCAGUGAUAAACUGGAGGAAGGUGGGGAUGACGUCAAGUCAUCAUGGCCCUUACGACCAGGGCUACACACGUGCUACAAUGGCGCAUACAAAGAGAAGCGACCUCGCGAGAGCAAGCGGACCUCAUAAAGUGCGUCGUAGUCCGGAUUGGAGUCUGCAACUCGACUCCAUGAAGUCGGAAUCGCUAGUAAUCGUGGAUCAGAAUGCCACGGUGAAUACGUUCCCGGGCCU